GUAGGGAAUAUUGCACAAUGGAGGAAACUCUGAUGCAGCGACGCCGCGUGAGUGAUGAAGGCCUUCGGGUCGUAAAGCUCUGUCGCAGGGGAAUAACACAAUGAAGGUACCCUAUAAGAAAGGAUCGGCUAACUUCGUGCCAGCAGCCGCGGUAAGACGAGGGAUCCUAGCGUUGUUCGGAAUCAUUGGGCGUAAAGCGGAUGUAGGUGGCUAUGUAAGUCAGAUGUGAAAGCCUGGGGCUCAACCCCAGAAGUGCAUUUGAUACUGCGUAGCUUGAGUGUCGGAGAGGUUACUAGAAUUGUUGGUGUAGUGGUGAAAUACGUAGAUAUCAACAGGAAUACCGGAGGCGAAGGCGGGUAACUGGCCGAACACUGACACUGAGAUCCGAAAGCGUGGGGAUCAAACAGGAUUAGAUACCCCAGUAGUCC
RNAcentral lists this ribosomal RNA (428 nucleotides) under uncultured bacterium. Its description in RNAcentral is "partial 16S ribosomal RNA". It matches the Rfam family "Bacterial small subunit ribosomal RNA", at positions 354 to 796 of the family's 1533-position model. The record is from RNAcentral.